ACUUCUCCCGUACGAAAAAGAUAGCAGGAUUCCGCCUAAUAUAAGCAGGAAAACGCUUAAAAUUUCCGUGUAUAUAAGAUUUUCCUGCUAAUUUAAGACGGACACGGAAUUUUGUAAAAAAUCCUGCUAAGCAAUUUCAUAUUCCGCCUAAGGCUUAGGCGGAAAAUAUGGGAUGAGCAAUAAUUUAGACGGGUUUUAGGACUUAGAAUUUUGUCAGUUAUUUGUUAACAGGAAUUAUGUACUUAGACUUUUUUGUUAACCAGAAAUUGAACUUAGAAAAUUUUACUAGACAGAUUUCUGAAUUUGGAGAAAUUUCUGCAGAUGACAGGUAUAUAAUAAAUCGAUUAUUAAGUGAUCAACAAUUAUUUUGCUGCUUUUAUUCAUUGUUAAUUUUCAAAACUAAAAUAUUGUUUGUACAAACAUAAACAUACAUAAUCAUUAAUUGAUAAAAAAAAACUCCACAACAAAACUAAAACUUAGAACAUAUUAUAUAAUGAUGUUGUGAUGACUUUUGCAUAGAAUAUAUUUCACUGUGUUAAAUUUGGGUAUGAACUAAACUCAUAUAUUAAGCUUUUUAAUGUAAUAUAAUUAAAUGAGUAAUAUCCCUGAAAAUUUCUUAUCAACAGGAUAAAUAAAUAAAUACUGCCUCUAGUAACCACUCUACUAUGAUUUAACACCACAGACCUGAUAACACACAGGUCAGAUCGUAAAUUCUGCUACAGUCCAGACUGUUCCAUGUGAUUUAUUUGGGGGGAAGCAACAGUUACUUUGUACAUUUUAUAUGAUGAGUCUGUUAAGAAGGACUUUGCAAAGUUUUUUUAAAGAUAUUUAUUAUGAAUUUUGGAUUCUUUUUCCAUUUAUUUUCUGGUAUUUUUAUAUAAUUGUGAAAAUAAAACGAUGGGUUGGAUUAUCCCUAUUUACCAUCAUAUCAUGGACUUGUCCAUAAUUUGAAAUCUAGGAAAUAUGGGUCAGCAGAAGCUUAGACAGUGGAAAUAAAGCAAAUAACAAAGGAUUUUAUUGAUAGUUAACAAUUGUGGUGAUAAUAUAUAAGCAAUUUUUGAGAUAAUAUUUUGUUUAAAGUGUAAGGAUUGAAUAUUUUUGAAUUUUUCAAAGAAAAAAAAUAAGACUUAGCCUUGUGAAUGAAAAUGACAAUAAUCUGGAUAUGCUCAGUUGUAAAUGAAUUUUGAAUGCUACAUUAUGACCUUGGAUAAGAAGAUAAAUACCAAUAUCAUAAAAAUUCAGGAUAUGUCUCAAGCUGGUGUAAAAAGAAUGGGAGGGGAGAAGUCACGGACAAGGAUAUUAAUGAUACCAUAAGUUAAAGCAGAUCAGUUAUGCUUGGAAUAAAAAUGAAAACAACUGGCUGAACAAAAAACAUUUACAGUGAAAUAAAAUGAAAUAAUUUGCCAUGGAUUAAAACAAUACAAUAGCAGUGCAAUAAAAAAUAUAACUCGUG
This is a long non-coding RNA of Ruditapes philippinarum (Manila clam), 1453 nucleotides long. RefSeq lists it as uncharacterized. The transcript has 2 exons. Lineage: Eukaryota; Metazoa; Mollusca; Bivalvia; Venerida; Veneridae. The record is from RefSeq and is a predicted model, not a curated record.